GGGUUCAGAACGUCGUGAGACAGUUCGGUCCCUAUCCGUCGUGGGCGUAGGAAAUUUGAGAGGAGCUGUCCUUAGUACGAGAGGACCGGGAUGGACAUACCUCUGGUGUACCAGUUGUCGUGCCAACGGCAUAGCUGGGUAGCUAUGUGUGGACGGGAUAAGUGCUGAAAGCAUCUAAGCAUGAAGCCCCCCUCAAGAUGAGAUUUCCCAACUUCGGUUAUAAGAUCCCUCAAAGAUGAUGAGGUUAAUAGGUUCGAGGUGGAAGCAUGGUGACAUGUGGAGCUGACGAAUACUAAUCGAUCGAAGACU
Molecule: ribosomal RNA, 309 nt
Filed under: Staphylococcus aureus
Lineage: Bacteria; Bacillati; Bacillota; Bacilli; Caryophanales; Staphylococcaceae
Description: partial 23S ribosomal RNA
Rfam family: Bacterial large subunit ribosomal RNA
Source: RNAcentral